AUUGAACGCUGGCGGAAUGCUUUACACAUGCAAGUCGAACGGUAGAGGGGGCAACCCCUCGAGAGUGGCGAACGGGUGAGUAAUAUAUCGGAACGUGCCCAGUCGUGGGGGAUAACGUAGCGGAGGGUACGCUAAUACCGCAUACGAUCUAGGGAUGAAAGCGGGGGAUCGCAAGACCUCGCGCGAUUGGACCCGCCGAUAUCAGAUUAGGUAGUUGGUGGGGUAAAGGCUCACCAAGCCAACGAUCUGUAGCUGGUCUGAGAGGACGACCAGCCACACUGGAACUGAGACACGGUCCAGACUCCUACGGGAGGCAGCAGUGGGGAAUUUUGGACAAUGGACGCAAGUCUGAUCCAGCCAUUCCGCGUGCAGGAUGAAGGCCCUCGGGUUGUAAACUGCUUUUGUACGGAACGAAAAGGUCUCUCUUAAUACGGGGGGCUCAUGACGGUACCGUAAGAAUAAGCACCGGCUAACUACGUGCCAGCCGCCGCCGUAA
This 496-nucleotide ribosomal RNA is filed under the name uncultured bacterium. Its description in RNAcentral is "partial 16S ribosomal RNA". It matches the Rfam family "Bacterial small subunit ribosomal RNA", at positions 30 to 523 of the family's 1533-position model. The record is from RNAcentral.